AUUGCCGGCCUUAAUCCUCUUUCAAAUCUUCUUGCUUUCCUAUAUUCAUCAUCAAUCAUAUGUGUGGCAAAUCUAGAGAGCUCGGUGAAUUUAGACUCAUAUUUGGCUACUGUCAAAUUUCCCUGGAUGAGAUUCAGGAACUCCAAUUCUUUCUGCUCUCUGAUACAAUCCAGAAAAUAUUUAUCAUUGAACUUUUCUGUAAAUACCUUCCAAGUGAUUGGCUCCUGUCGAGCUUUAGAAAUCCUCUU
This 248-nucleotide long non-coding RNA is filed under the name Musa acuminata (dwarf banana). RNAcentral's name for it is "long non-coding RNA (MACU_LNC006899)". The record is from RNAcentral. Lineage: Eukaryota; Viridiplantae; Streptophyta; Magnoliopsida; Zingiberales; Musaceae.